UACGGAGGGUGCGAGCGUUGUCCGGAAUCACUGGGCGUAAAGGGCGCGUAGGCGGCGCGGAUAGUCGGCGGUGAAAGCCCGGAGCUCAACUCCGGGUCGGCCGUCGAUACUUCCGGGCUUGAGCACUGUAGAGGCAGAUGGAAUUCCGGGUGUAGCGGUGGAAUGCGUAGAGAUCCGGAAGAACACCGGUGGCGAAGGCGGUCUGCUGGGCAGUUGCUGACGCUGAUGCGC
This 231-nucleotide ribosomal RNA is filed under the name uncultured bacterium. Its description in RNAcentral is "partial 16S ribosomal RNA". It matches the Rfam family "Bacterial small subunit ribosomal RNA", at positions 524 to 754 of the family's 1533-position model. The record is from RNAcentral.